UUUGCCAUGUGAAGAAGGUGCUUGCUUCUCCUUCACCUUCCACCAUGAUUGUAAGUUUCCCGAGGCCUCCCCAGCCAUGUCUCUUGUACAGCCUGUGGAACUGUGUUCUGAUAUGAGAAGAACUUCUUCAGAAGGUAUCUUAAUGCAUAUGGGGAAACUGAGGCCCAGGAGGCAACUAUUGCAUCCAGAAAAAAAAAAAAUGAAGAUGAUGACUUCUCUGCAACUAAGAUGAAGAUGCACUGAACUCUGGGGUUUGAAAUGCAACGUUAGAACUUCAGACUCCCGGCACCUAGGUCUCCAGCUGCUGGGUGGUGCCAGCAUCAGAGAUACACUCUGCAAAACAUAUACUGUCUUAGGAAAAAGUGACCCUGUUGUCCUUUCAGGCCCAUAUUCCACAAGAAGACAAAUUGAGAUGUAAAAGGAAAACUGCAGCUCCGAGUGAAGAGAGAGCAAGUUGUCUUUUCUGAUACAGCCAGGAAAUAAGAUGUUCUGGUUAAUAUGUGCUAAAGAUGUGGUGCUGACUUUCCGACUCAGAAUAUGAUCACAUGUUUUUCUCAUUAAAACUAUAUUGAAUGUUA
Molecule: long non-coding RNA, 578 nt
Organism: Gorilla gorilla gorilla (western lowland gorilla)
Lineage: Eukaryota; Metazoa; Chordata; Mammalia; Primates; Hominidae
Exons: 3
Source: RefSeq, a predicted model, not a curated record